Clupea harengus (Atlantic herring) is the source of this 278-nucleotide long non-coding RNA. The record is from Ensembl. Lineage: Eukaryota; Metazoa; Chordata; Actinopteri; Clupeiformes; Clupeidae.
AAGUUAAGCGGUUCGAGCUGAAUUAAGCGCAGAAGUUCGGUACAAAGAAUAAUAACUAGAAAAUGCAUUUCCUGAAGGAAAUACCAGUGCAUGAAAUGCAAAAGUUAAGAAAGGAAGAAAAAAAAAAGAAGAGUGAAAGAACGAAAGAAGAGUGGAAGAAGAGUAAAAGAAGGAAAGAAGUGAGGAAGAAGGAAAGAAGAGUGGAAGAAGGAAAGAAGAAAGGAAAGAAGAGUGAAGAAAGGAAAGAAGAGUGAAGAAAGGAAAGAAGAAAAGAAAGA